AGGCAAUUAGUUUUAAAUAAAACCUUUGAUUUCGGCUCAAACAUUUAUGGUGAAAGUCCAUAAUUGCCUA
RNAcentral lists this transfer RNA (70 nucleotides) under Dascyllus trimaculatus (three spot damselfish). RNAcentral describes it as "tRNA-Arg". RNAcentral also lists the same sequence under 2 other names. Lineage: Eukaryota; Metazoa; Chordata; Actinopteri; Pomacentridae. The record is from RNAcentral.